AACGAACGCUGGCGGCAUGCCUAACACAUGCAAGUCGAACGAGACCUUCGGGUCUAGUGGCGCACGGGUGCGUAACGCGUGGGAACCUGCCCUUAGGUUCGGAAUAACUCCCCGAAAGGGGUGCUAAUAACGGAUAAUGUCUUCGGACCAAAGAUUUAUCGCCUUUGGGUGGGCCCGCGUUGGAUUAGCUGGUUGGUAGGGUAAAAGCCUACCAAGGCGACGAUCCAUAGCUGGUCUGAGAGGAUGAUCAGCCACACUGGGACUGAGACACGGCCCAGACUCCUACGGGAGGCAGCAGUGGGGAAUAUUGGACGAUGGGCGAAAGCCUGAUCCAGCAAUGCCGCGUGAGUGAGGAAGGCCUUAGGGUUGUAAAGCUCUUUUACCCGGGAUGAUAAUGACAGUACCGGGAGAAUAAGCUCCGGCUAACUCCGUG
Molecule: ribosomal RNA, 433 nt
Filed under: uncultured bacterium
Lineage: Bacteria
Description: partial 16S ribosomal RNA
Rfam family: Bacterial small subunit ribosomal RNA
Source: RNAcentral